Molecule: ribosomal RNA, 224 nt
Filed under: uncultured bacterium
Lineage: Bacteria
Description: partial 16S ribosomal RNA
Rfam family: Bacterial small subunit ribosomal RNA
Source: RNAcentral
GACAGAGGGUGCAAACGUUGUUCGGAAUUACUGGGCGUAAAGCGCGUGUAGGCGGCCAACUAAGUCGGGCGUGAAAUCCCACGGCUCAACCGUGGAAGUGCACUCGAAACUGGAUGGCUAGAGUCCUGGAGAGGAAGGUGGAAUGCUUGGUGUAGAGGUGAAAUUCGUAGAUAUCAAGCGGAACACCGGUGGCGAAGGCGGCCUUCUGGACAGUGACUGGACGC